AGGCAUUCAGGCAGCGAGAGCAGAGCAGCGUAGAGCAGCACAGCUGAGCUCGUGAGGCAGGAGACUCAGCCCGAGGAAAUCGCAGAUAAGUUUUUAAUUAAAAAGAUUGAGCAGUAAAAAGAAUUAGAACUCUAAACUUAAGCUAAUAGAGUAGCUUAUCGAAAUAUUACUUAGUCUUAAUAAUCUAAGAAGAUCUUAAGAGAUAACAUGAAGGCUUAUUUAAACAGUUUGAAAAAGGAAAUGAGGAGAAAAGUAUUUGUACUGUAUAAUGGAGGCUGACCAGAGCAGUUUAGGAGAUUGUAAAGGGAGGUUUUGUGAAGUUCUAAAAGGUUCUAGUUUGAAGGUCGGCCUUGUAGAUUAAAACGAAGGUUACCUAAAUAGAAUCUAAGUGGCAUUUAAAACAGUAAAGUUGUAGAGAAUAGUUUGAAAAUGAGGUGUAGUUUUAAAAGAUUGAGAAAAGUAGGUUAAGUUGACGGCCGUUAUAAAAAUCCUUCGACUGGCGCAUGUACGUUUGAAGGCAGAGGCAGGCGGAUUUCUGAGUUCGAGGCCAGCCUGGUCUACAGAGUGAGUUCCAGGACAGCCAGGGCUACACAGAGAAACCCUGUCUUGAAAAAACAAAAAGGUUAGGCUAGUAUUUGGAGAAAGAAGAUUAGAAAAUGGAAGUGAAAGACGAAGAAGACAUACAGGAAGGUGAAGAAAAAGCUGUUAGAGAAGAUAGGAAAAUAGAAGACAAAGCAUCUUUAGAAGACAGAAAAGGUACUUAAAGGCACAGGUAGUAGGAAGCCGAAGAAUAGAAGAUAGAAAGAAGCAA
RNAcentral lists this long non-coding RNA (811 nucleotides) under Mus musculus (house mouse). Its description in RNAcentral is "metastasis associated lung adenocarcinoma transcript 1 (non-coding RNA)". Lineage: Eukaryota; Metazoa; Chordata; Mammalia; Rodentia; Muridae. The record is from RNAcentral.